Long non-coding RNA from Gadus chalcogrammus (walleye pollock), 5056 nucleotides. RefSeq lists it as uncharacterized. The record is from RefSeq and is a predicted model, not a curated record. NCBI's taxonomy places the organism in Eukaryota, Metazoa, Chordata, Actinopteri, Gadiformes, Gadidae. The transcript is spliced from 8 exons.
GGACGAUCCCAGACACCAGAACGUGUGUGUCCUGUUUCACAGGUUAAAGACUUUUUGAAGUAAAGAGGAGCAUCUCAUCUGAACCUGAUGUCUAUCAUGGAUAUUUAACUGCAGUUCUGUGAGUAUCCCAACUUAACCAUGAAGAUGAACUGCAAACUGUAAGUCAUAAGUUUCUCAUUACUCUUGGGCACAUUGAUGUAUUUUGGUUUCCUGGUGAGUUAACCCGUUACCUGAAGGUUGAUCUGAAUAGUAAGGAUGUUUUUAUUGGUUCAUGGGUUACAUUGGCGUUUGGUUUGGUUUAUGUUGGUUUUAAUGAUUCGUUAAAAUGGUUACAGGCUCUAAGUUAUUGUUGUAAGCUGGAGUAAUGGGUUGGGCUCUGAUAUCUUCAGUCUUCUUUCCAGCUACUUUCCUGAGCUCUGCAUCUUCAUCAAAUAAGUGUUGCUUUACUGAUGAGCGUGUGGUCUGAGUGAGCAGAGGUGCGUACUGGGAUACAGAGCUGUCUCAAGUCUACAGGUCUGUAGACAUGCCCCCUCAAGGGAAACCGAGUGUUUGAGAAACCGUCCUGACGUCAGUUACAUGGUCUAGAAUGUUCUUAAAGAUGGAGACAGGGAUUCAGAAGGAGAAACACCAGGGGGAGAUGAGGGGGCUCCUCAUCUCAACGACUGAAACACAACUUCAGUCUGACACAGAGAACCAUGGAACACAUUCAACAGUCCCCUCCAAGCAUCGUGACUCCUCAGGAACAGUUUCAUUUCCAAGAAGGUCUUAUUUGGGGCCAUCCCCAUAUGGAUCCUGCUCCUCAAGAGCCACCCCCCUCCACUGGGUGGUCUUCUGAACAGAUGACCUCCUUCCUGCUCUCAGGCUGACUAAAGCUGCACCGUUUGCAUCUGUGAAGGCCCCUCAUUCAGGAAACCACUGGACUACAAGGACAUGACUUCAGAGACGUUGAAUCAACCUGAGACACAUUUUGGAGACGCCAAGCAUAAUCCAUCACCAAUGUGGGACGCCACUGAAGAAUGUUGUACAUAAUUAACGUCUCUGGAGACAUUGGUUGUUCUGUUCUGGGUGCCCUGGCAAGAGAGCUGGGGGUUGAUGAUGGAAUGAUAUUUGGCAUGAGGUUUUUACCCUGCAUGAUUGUUUGGUCUUUUAUGGCUCAGUGGUGUGUGUGUUUGGGUUUGACAUGAGAUGGAUGAUUUUUGAGCGUCGGUAGGGUUCUACUGUGUGUGUGUGUGUGUCUCUCCCACACACCUGGCAUGGGGUUCUACGCGUGUUUGGUUCCACCUGGCAUGGGGUUCUACGUGCGUGUCCUGGGUUCUAUGUCUGUGCGUCCUGCUUGCUUUGACAGUGAUGAUGUUCACACGGGGGUCUGUGUGGUUGGCUUGGGAUAUUGGAAUGGUCAACUAAAUCAUACCUGACGGACGGCCACAUGUUUACUUGAGGCCUCCAGUAGACAUGAAGAGCCCAGAGCGACGCUACGGAGCGAUAUCCAACACACUGGGCAGGAAGGAGAGUAUCCAACUCAAGUGUAAAAGGAUGCAAGCGGCGUGUUCAGAUCAGUGACUUCAAACUAGGACUACACCAAUCAGGAUCAAUGGAGGAUGGACACCUAAAGGCAUUCCACAAGGAGAGUCUGAAGUUGGAAAGGGACCUAAAUGGGUAUUCAAGAUGACCUUCAGACCUGUAAUGAGACUGCUCUUCCUACCUGGCUGGAUGGAUGGAGAGCCCUGUGGAUCUUGUCUUGCUCUCGGUUGCACGUCUUCUCAGGCUGUACUGUAUUUGUUUCGGACAGGACUAGCUGAACUAUUGGUUCCCUUAAAUCCAAACCAAUCUGGGAACUGCAACUAGUGCGCUCUUCGAGCUGAAGUUGUGCUCUUCAGCCUAGGAGGCAAGGAAACGUUCACUGGGGCUUCAAGGUGUAAAGAGGAGAAUGUUUCGAAGUGUUCCAUGGUACUCUGAUGAAGACCGUUGUUGUGUUCCACUGGCUGAGAGGAAGAACCCUCACAUCUUCCUCUUGGCCUUUCUCCUCUGAGAAUCCUGGCGCCAUCUAGAAGGAUAUUCCAGCUCAUGUAACUGAUGUCACGACAGAUUCUCAAACACUUGGUUUCUCCUGAGGGGCGUGUCUAUAGAACUGAAGACUUCAGACAGCACUGUAUCCCAGCAUGCAUCUCUGCUCACUCAGACCACACCCCCAUGAGUAGGAUGCAACACUCUAGUGAUGGAGAUGUCGAUUUUUAUAAGUAACGAGGGAGCAGACAAAGGUGAUUAGAACACAAUGGCAUGUCAAGUCUGUAAAUCUUUAAACCAUGAAGAUGGUUGGAUAGUUCAGGAGUUGGGCUUCUUUUUUUAUUACGGGCAGUCCUUUCACUCAGAUGCCCACAUCUCACUGGACCUGUGCAUGUGUUGGCUGGCUGGCAUGAUUUGCUGUUGGUGAUGAGGCGGUUAGUGUGACGUUGCAGGGCUAUGGUCGGCUCUCUGUGAGCUCAACGUUUAGAUUUGCUCUGUAUGGUUUGUACCCUGAAUAAUCUAGAUAAUUGUAAAAUGUAGACAUGAUUUUGUAUUGACUGAUUCCAGGAUUUUAGGUUUAAAGCUGUUGUGGGACGUACAUGGUAGUUUGGUUCUUCGUAUGGUUUUGAGUGAUAUAACUUGUACACACUGGGUGCAUAAUAAUAUAAAGGUACACUGAAUAGUAGUAAUUACCAACAGCAACAAACGGAUCUCCUCAAGGUAAGUCUGUUGGCUGUAUUUUAAUGAAGACCAUCGCUGGACUUCAGGAUCUUCCUCCGUUCAGCUCAAGGUGAGGCGCUGGUUAUGUUUUCUUUGGUUGGUUCCGGCCGGAAUGUUCGGAUUCCGGUCGGACGGUUUGUGCUUCCCGCCGUGGAAGGUUCUGAGUGCGGUCACUUGAUUUAUUCCCAAUGGUUAGCAUAGAACGUUGUAGUCUUGAUAACCAUAAGAAACCACCUGGCAGUUAGUUGGACGGGAGUCCCCUGAGGGAAUCUGGCGGAACGUUCUGGAUUGUAUUUGCGUAACCUCGAGCCGUUACCAACGGAAACUAUUUUUCAGUCGUUUCCAUUGGGAAUUGUUGUCCCUUAUCUUAAACAACUUAAGUUUGAUAUUAAAUACAUACUGACACGUACGUCGUACAAUAUGUUGAUAAUUUCCGAUGGUUGCUUGCGCCGUACUUUUAACCACGUUGACGCGACGGGACUCUCGCCGCGUACAAAACGGCGUUCUACUUGCGGGCCCAUUUUUGACAUCAGUGAAGGCUGAAAAUCAUUUCAAGGUGGAAGAUAAUUUGACAUUUCUUCAACGGAACCCAGCACCUGAAUAUGGCGAGUAAUAUAUUUGAUUUAAUAUCGAUACUGCUUAGUGUUCUUUGUUACUUCAGCUUUUGUACGUUCUAAAUAUCUGCUGUCAUUAAUUGCCACAGAAGUUAAACCCUACCCAAUGGCAUGAUGUUAAACAAGUCUUUGGUGCAGAGUUACCAACUGGAUAAUAUCUAAAAUAAUAAUAAGCUAAAAUAAUGGCCGUCCUUCCCACAUGUGACAGUAGAAGAUACUCUAGAACUGUACCUGGUUAAAAAGGUAACCUGUAGUUUGUCCCAAGGUGUCUGCCUCCUCACCAAGAGCAAGACCUCCACCUCCUCACCCAGAGCAAGACCUCCACCUCCUCACCCAGAGCAAGACCUCCACCUCCUCACCCAGAGCCAGACCGCCACCUCCUGUCAGAAGUCCUCCAGAACAGCUGAAAGGCGAGGCUGAGAGGCUGGGGACCGGAGGCUUGUGGUGCCAGGAUGGACCGGAGACUGAGGCUGGAGACCAGGGGCCUGCAGCACCGGACCAGAGGACCAGGAAUCCAUGGCUGAAGGAGCUGAUGGAUUCGUGCUGAAGGCCCUGCCUGGUGGAGGAGCUGAUGGAGGCCCUGCCUGGUGGAGGAGCUGAUGGAGGCCCUGCCUGGUGGAGGAGCUGAUGGAGGCCCUGCCUGGUGGAGGAGCUGAUGGAGGCCCUGCCUGGUGGAGGAGCUGAUGGAGGCCCUGCCUGGUGGAGGACGUCUGUCGUGGGACCAGGACUCUGUCUGAGCAGAGCUGCUGGAGGAGCUGAGACGCUGGAGGACGACUAGGAAUCGACCAACAAGGAUUCCUUAUAAAACGUGUUUCUGGAGCGGAGGCGAGCUGGUAGGGGAGCCGUGAAUCUGGAGGACGACAUCACUCUACCAACCAGGAUCCUCAGACGUUUGUAACCAGACCAGGAAUCUGGAGGACUGAUGGAGAAGCCGUACACCUGGAAGGCAAAUCCUGAGGACAACCAGGACUCUACCAUCAAGGAUUCCUCACACACCUGAGCUGAACCUCACCUGAUCCUGACAUCCUGCUGGUCCCGUCUCCUCAGUUCAUCUGAGCCUCGUCCUCUAGAAGACCUGCUGAGCUCAGCAGUCUGAGGCUGAUGGAUCAAUGACUUCCAGUGGGAGUGAUCUUCUUGACCCCACAUGUAACCGUGUGCUUCCACACGCCUUUCCCUGACGUCUGUCACUAACCUCACUACUUCACUACUCUCUACUGCUUCCUCUUCUUCUUCCUUCUCUGUGGUUCGAACCUUUACACUGGAGGCGCGUCUCCAUGCCCUCAGAGGGUUCAGCGUUAGGGUUGAGAGUCAGGGUUUAGAGUCAGGGACAGAGCUGGUCAGGGAGGACUGCUUUUACACAAACCUCUGCACUUGGUUUCGGAAUGGUGGUGACAUUUUGAAAAGAUUCAUUUGGGAAAAUGUUUUCCUCUGCUUUCCUUGACAAAAAUGUAUUAAACUUCUGUCAAAUGUUUUUGUUUAUAUAUUAAAAUCCCACAUUGACUUCUACAUGUUUGGUGCGGUUCAUUUAAUUGUCCUUUAACUUGGUUAAUGUCAAGCUAAACUCCUGCAAUACAUUUAAUAUACAUGAUUGUUAUUCAGCAAUGUUCACAUAAUCCAUUUUGUAAAAAUAUGAAACCUCCAUAUUACUACUAAAUUGAAGCCUAUUCAUGUAUUUAACAAUGUACAUACUGCCCCGCAGGCCAUUCUCUGGUACAACA